Molecule: non-coding RNA, 2169 nt
Organism: Callorhinus ursinus (northern fur seal)
Lineage: Eukaryota; Metazoa; Chordata; Mammalia; Carnivora; Otariidae
Source: RefSeq, a predicted model, not a curated record
UGUCUCUCUCAAAUGAAUAAAAUCUUAAAAAAAAAAAAACCUACUGAGCUUAUUACUUAGCCUCCUUUUGCCUUUUCCCUAUCUUCUCUGAAAUCUGUUACUCUCCUUUUUAUCUACCGAAAAUGCUUUCCCCAUCUCUUGACAGACCUGUUCCUGUCUGUUUCUGAGCCUUUUCUCUCUGUGGGGUUUCCUGCCUCCCUCAGCAAAAAUGAUGUAUUGGUAUGGCUUCCGUGUCUCCUUCAGUGUACUUCUUUUUCUUAUUUCUGACUAUUCUUCUUUCCUUUCCUAUUGAUAACACAGAAGUGGAAUUUUGAUGUUUGUUAUUGACUGUUUACAGAUCUAUGAUACUCAAUUUUCAAGGCUAGUAAACAAAACAUUUAAAUUUCUCUCUGUAAAAAUAAGUGGUACUUGGCACAGUUAGUGACUGCCAAAAGGAAAUCGAUACCCAGCCAUCUUUGUGGAACUGGUUUUGCAAUAAAUAAUGAGAAUUUAAUGAAAUAUUUCUAGGAUAUAGCUGUACACAGAGGAAACUAAUAUAAAGUUAUAGGGGCCUAGUGCUUCAACUGGAAAUUCCAACAGAAGAUCAAUUUGGUUGCUAAGCAGAGAACAAUGUUUAAGGUUUAAAAAUGGACUUAUUUCUUCAAAAAUAUAAAAAGGAUUUUAUCUUUGACAGUGAAAUUCCUAAGGACCCCUUGAAGGCCAUUCUGUUGGAGUUAGAAUGUCACUUUACAUGGAAUUUACUUAAGGAAGACAUUCUGUUUGAUGUGGAAGAUACAAUUGGGCAGCAGCUUGAAUCUGUCACCACAGAAUCCAGACUUACUCUUUAUAACCUAUUGGCCUAUGUGAAACAUCUAAAAGGCCAAAAUGAAGAUGCCCUAGAAUGCUUGGAACAAGCAGAACACAUAAUCCAGCAAGAGCACUCAGACAAAGAAGUUCGACAUCUGGUCACUUGGGGAAACUAUGCCUGGGUGUAUUAUCACAUGGACCAGCUUAAGGAAGCUCAGAAGCAUUUAGACAAGAUAGGGACCACCUGUAAGAAACUGUCCAGUCCUUCUGACUACAGGUCGGACAGGCCUGAGAUUGACUGUGAGAAAGGGUGGGCACUCUUGAAAUUUGGAGGAAAGUAUUACCACAGGGCAAAAGUGGCUUUUGAGAAGGCUCUGGAAGUGGAACCUGACAAUCCAGAAUUUAACAUCGGUUAUGCCAUCACAGUGUACCGGCUGGACGAUACUGACAGACACGGGUGUAUAAAGAGCUUUUCUCUGGGCCCGCUGAGGAAGGCUGUCUCCCUGAACCCAGGUAACACCUACAUUAAGGUUUUACUGGCACUGAAGCUUCAAGAUGUACAAGCAGAAGAUGAAGGGGAAAGGUAUACUGAAGAAAUCCUGGACCAAAUAUCCUCCCAACCUCAUGUCCUUCGUUACGCAGCCAAAUUCUACAGGAGAAAAAAUUCCUGGGACAAAGCUCUUGAAGUUUUGAAAAAGGCCUUGAAGGUGACACCAUGUCUUCGUUCCUGCAUCACCAGAUGGGACUUUGCUAUCGGGCGCAAAUGAUCGACAUCAAGGAGGCCACAGGCAACAGACCUACAGGGGAGGAUAAACUGAGGAUGGACAGGCUUAUUACAAUGACUAUCUUUCAUUUCAAAGUAGCUGUGCAAUGAGACUUCAAGUUCCCCUUUGUCUACACAGCCCUGGCGAGCAUGUAUGUCGAGGCAGGCCAGUGUAAUAAAGCUGAAGAAGUUUUCCAGAAAGUGCUUCAUCUGGAGAACAUAACUGAUGAUCACAAACAUCAGAUCCACUACUACUACGGCCGCUUUCAGGAAUUUCACUGUAAGUCAGAAAGUACUGCCAUCCACCAUUAUUUAGAGGCCUUAAAGAUCAGUGACCAAUCAUCCCUCCGUCCCAAACUGACAAGUGUUCUGAAGAAACUGGCUCUGAAGAGACUUGGUCAUGAUGCUUCAGAUGUGCAGUUAUGUGCCCUGGGGCUUGUUUACAAGCUGGAGGGAGAAGAGAGGCAAGCUGCUCAGUACUAUGAGCGGGCCCAGAGGAUAGAUCCAGAAAAUGCAGAGCCCCUUGCCGCUCUCUGUGAGCUUCGACUUUCUAUUUAAAUAUAUACUCUAGGAAAUUGCUUUUAAGCUUUUCUUACCAUUUUGGGCUCAUAUAUUUUUAU